AGUGGGGGCAUGCUAUACAUGCAGUCGAGCGGACAGAUGGGAGCUUGCUCCCUGAUGUUAGCGGCGGACGGGUGAGUAACACGUGGGUAACCUGCCUGUAAGACUGGGAUAACUCCGGGAAACCGGGGCUAAUACCGGAUGGUUGUUUGAACCGCAUGGUUCAGACAUAAAAGGUGGCUUCGGCUACCACUUACAGAUGGACCCGCGGCGCAUUAGCUAGUUGGUGAGGUAACGGCUCACCAAGGCGACGAUGCGUAGCCGACCUGAGAGGGUGAUCGGCCACACUGGGACUGAGACACGGCCCAGACUCCUACGGGAGGCAGCAGUAGGGAAUCUUCCGCAAUGGACGAAAGUCUGACGGAG
This 363-nucleotide ribosomal RNA is filed under the name uncultured Bacillus sp. RNAcentral describes it as "bacterial SSU rRNA". It matches the Rfam family "Bacterial small subunit ribosomal RNA", at positions 37 to 391 of the family's 1533-position model. The record is from RNAcentral. Lineage: Bacteria; Bacillati; Bacillota; Bacilli; Caryophanales; Bacillaceae.